AGGGAAUAUUGCGCAAUGGAGGGAACUCUGACGCAGCGACGCCGCGUGAGCGAUGAAGGUCUUCGGAUCGUAAAGCUCUGUCCUUGGGGAAGAAGGGAGCCGUAAGGCUUCUUGACGGUACCCAUGGAGGAAGCCCCGGCUAACUACGUGCCAGCAGCCGCGGUAAUACGUAGGGGGCAAGCGUUGUCCGGAAUUAUUGGGCGUAAAGGGUGCGUAGGCGGCCCUUUAAGUCAGAUGUGAAAGCCCACGGCUUAACCGUGGGACUGCAUUUGAAACUGGAGGGCUUGAGUGUCGGAGAGGGCAGUGGAAUUCCCAGUGUAGCGGUGGAAUGCGUAGAUAUUGGGAGGAACACCAGUGGCGAAGGCGACUGCCUGGACGAUAACUGACGCUGAGGCACGAAAGCUAGGGGAGCAAAC
RNAcentral lists this ribosomal RNA (416 nucleotides) under uncultured bacterium. Its description in RNAcentral is "bacterial SSU rRNA". It matches the Rfam family "Bacterial small subunit ribosomal RNA", at positions 356 to 773 of the family's 1533-position model. The record is from RNAcentral.